This 861-nucleotide ribosomal RNA is filed under the name Arthrobacter sp. FS-YC6698. Its description in RNAcentral is "bacterial SSU rRNA". It matches the Rfam family "Bacterial small subunit ribosomal RNA", at positions 54 to 922 of the family's 1533-position model. The record is from RNAcentral. Lineage: Bacteria; Bacillati; Actinomycetota; Actinomycetes; Micrococcales; Micrococcaceae.
CAUGCAAGUUCGAACGAUGACUUUUGUGCUUGCACAAGAUGAUUAGUGGCGAACGGGUGAGUAACACGUGAGUAACCUGCCCCUGACUUCGGGAUAAGCCUGGGAAACUGGGUCUAAUACCGGAUAUGCACCGUGGACCGCAUGGUCCUUGGUGGAAAGACUUGUUGGUCAGGGAUGGACUCGCGGCCUAUCAGCUUGUUGGUGAGGUAAUGGCUCACCAAGGCGACGACGGGUAGCCGGCCUGAGAGGGUGACCGGCCACACUGGGACUGAGACACGGCCCAGACUCCUACGGGAGGCAGCAGUGGGGAAUAUUGCACAAUGGGCGAAAGCCUGAUGCAGCGACGCCGCGUGAGGGAUGACGGCCUUCGGGUUGUAAACCUCUUUCAGUAGGGAAGAAGCGAAAGUGACGGUACCUGCAGAAGAAGCGCCGGCUAACUACGUGCCAGCAGCCGCGGUAAUACGUAGGGCGCAAGCGUUAUCCGGAAUUAUUGGGCGUAAAGAGCUCGUAGGCGGUUUGUCGCGUCUAUCGUGAAAGUCCGAGGCUCAACCUCGGAUCUGCGGUGGGUACGGGCAGACUAGAGUGAUGUAGGGGAGACUGGAAUUCCUGGUGUAGCGGUGAAAUGCGCAGAUAUCAGGAGGAACACCGAUGGCGAAGGCAGGUCUCUGGGCAUUAACUGACGCUGAGGAGCGAAAGCAUGGGGAGCGAACAGGAUUAGAUACCCUGGUAGUCCAUGCCGUAAACGUUGGGCACUANGUGUGGGGGACAUUCCACGUUUUCCGCGCCGUAGCUAACGCAUUAAGUGCCCCGCCUGGGGAGUACGGCCGCAAGGCUAAAACUCAAAGGAAUUGACGGGGGCCC